This 486-nucleotide ribosomal RNA is filed under the name uncultured bacterium. RNAcentral describes it as "partial 16S ribosomal RNA". It matches the Rfam family "Bacterial small subunit ribosomal RNA", at positions 30 to 507 of the family's 1533-position model. The record is from RNAcentral.
AUUGAACGCUGGCGGCAUGCCUUACACAUGCAAGUCGAACGGCAGCACGGGUGCUUGCACCUGGUGGCGAGUGGCGAACGGGUGAGUAAUACAUCGGAACAUGUCCUGUAGUGGGGGAUAGCCCGGCGAAAGCCGGAUUAAUACCGCAUACGAUCUACGGAAGAAAGCGGGGGACCUUCGGGCCUCGCGCUAUAGGGUUGGCCGAUGGCUGAUUAGCUAGUUGGUGGGGUAAAGGCCUACCAAGGCGACGAUCAGUAGCUGGUCUGAGAGGACGACCAGCCACACUGGGACUGAGACACGGCCCAGACUCCUACGGGAGGCAGCAGUGGGGAAUUUUGGACAAUGGGCGAAAGCCUGAUCCAGCAAUGCCGCGUGUGUGAAGAAGGCCUUCGGGUUGUAAAGCACUUUUGUCCGGAAAGAAAUCCUUUGCCCUAAUACGGGCGGGGGAUGACGGUACCGGAAGAAUAAGCACCGGCUAACUACGUG